RNAcentral lists this ribosomal RNA (253 nucleotides) under uncultured bacterium. Its description in RNAcentral is "partial 16S ribosomal RNA". It matches the Rfam family "Bacterial small subunit ribosomal RNA", at positions 524 to 776 of the family's 1533-position model. The record is from RNAcentral.
UACGUAGGUGGCAAGCGUUGUCCGGAUUUACUGGGCGUAAAGGGCGUGCAGGCGGUUUGUUAAGUGCAGGGUGAAAGCUCCCGGCUCAACUGGGAGAGGUCCUUGCAUACUGGCGAACUCGAGGGAGGCAGAGGAAAGUGGAAUUCCCGGUGUAGUGGUGAUAUGCGUAGAUAUCGGGAGGAACACCUGUGGCGAAGGCGGCUUUCUGGGCCUUACCUGACGCUGAGACACGAAAGCGUGGGGAGCGAACAGG